RNAcentral lists this long non-coding RNA (520 nucleotides) under Linum usitatissimum (flax). RNAcentral's name for it is "long non-coding RNA (LUSI_LNC001788)". Lineage: Eukaryota; Viridiplantae; Streptophyta; Magnoliopsida; Malpighiales; Linaceae. The record is from RNAcentral.
AAGAUCGGAAACCCUAUGACGCCAGAUACAUUUUCCGGCAUCGGGACGCACUAGACUGAUUUUGAGGUUAUCCUCUCUUCUGCACUUUUAUUCCUUUGUCUUUAUUUUAAGUUCUUAUAUGAUUUGCAGUAUAGUUGUUACAUUCUCUUGGUUUAAAUCUUGGCAAUCAAAACAAAGGGAGUAUCGCCCAGUCCUUCCAAAUAGUGUUUGGGGUUUCUCUUCUGUUUAGGUUUUCGAUACUCACGGUUGGCCUUUUUAACUGGUUUGGGGUUCUUCUCUUUUGUCGUCAUCCUCAUGCCUACAUCUUUGUUUCUUGGCGCCUUUCUCUUUAAAAUUAAUGUUGAUUUCUGUCUUCCUUCAUACUACCACAGGGAACCACAAUUCAGGGGGAGUCUCACAAAAACUACACUGCCCUCCUUCAGUCUCGAAUCAGUGUUGGUUCGUCUACAAAAUAACAGGCUUUGGCCUUCGCCCUCGAAGGAAGAACUAUCGAACAAGUCCAUUUCCUCAUUGUUUGGAC